CUUGAAGAAACAGGGUAAGAGAUCCUGUAGUGUGCAGGUCCCUGGGAUGUUGAGCAGAGCUGGAGAAUCAUGAGGAAGGGAGCCGAGAGCAAGUGGCAGCUGCAUGGCACACCAGGUACCAUGGGACCUCGCCACAUUGCCUGGAAUCGCCUGACCCUCCCUUUACCCCACAAGGAGUCCCCAGCUUUUGGAGCUUCAGAGUUCUUGUCCAAGUCUCACACAAUCCCCUGAAGAGUGGUGAAAAUACUCUCCAAAGUCGCUGAACCCUGAGCACAGGACCACAUCCCAGGAACUGCCACAUAAGAAAGGGGGAAUCCAUGCAUGGACUCAAAGUACUGAAUCAGCAGCUGGAAAUACUAAAGUAAUUCAUGACCCAUAGAAGCACAAGUCAAAAAUGGUAGUCUGCAGGCCGGAUCUAACCCACAGAUGUGUUUUGUUUGGCCACACAAUCUAUCGAAAUUUAUUGCCACCAUUAAAAACUUAGAUUUCAUAUUUUUAAAAAAGUUCUAGCCUGCAUUCCUACCUGACAACAAUUCCCUGGAGCUGCUGCCUUCCCCUCCUCACAUUCCU
Molecule: long non-coding RNA, 570 nt
Filed under: Homo sapiens (human)
Lineage: Eukaryota; Metazoa; Chordata; Mammalia; Primates; Hominidae
Description: HSALNT0330137
Source: RNAcentral